AGUGAACGCUGGCGGUAGGCCUAACACAUGCAAGUCGAACGGCAGCACAGUAAGAGCUUGCUCUUACGGGUGGCGAGUGGCGGACGGGUGAGGAAUACAUCGGAAUCUACUUUUUCGUGGGGGAUAACGUAGGGAAACUUACGCUAAUACCGCAUACGACCUACGGGUGAAAGCAGGGGAUCUUCGGACCUUGCGCGAUCGAAUGAGCCGAUGUCGGAUUAGCUAGUUGGCGGGGUAAAGGCCCACCAAGGCGACGAUCCGUAGCUGGUCUGAGAGGAUGAUCAGCCACACUGGAACUGAGACACGGUCUAGACUCCUACGGGAGGCAGCAGUGGGGAAUAUUGGACAAUGGGCGCAAGCCUGAUCCAGCCAUACCGCGUGGGUGAAGAAGGCCUUCGGGUUGUAAAGCCCUUUUGUUGGGAAAGAAAAGCAGCAGGUUAAUACCCCGCUGUUCUGACGGUACCCAAAGAAUAAGCACCGGCUAACUUCGUG
RNAcentral lists this ribosomal RNA (492 nucleotides) under uncultured bacterium. RNAcentral describes it as "partial 16S ribosomal RNA". It matches the Rfam family "Bacterial small subunit ribosomal RNA", at positions 29 to 507 of the family's 1533-position model. The record is from RNAcentral.